Molecule: unclassified non-coding RNA, 218 nt
Filed under: plant metagenome
Description: partial contains small subunit ribosomal RNA and internal transcribed spacer 1
Rfam family: Eukaryotic small subunit ribosomal RNA (bases 1-46)
Source: RNAcentral
AAGUCGUAACAAGGUUUCCGUAGGUGAACCUGCGGAAGGAUCAUUAACCGAGUUCUCCCUGCUCCUGCCAGGAACUUCCCACCCUUAGAUUAUCCUAUGAGCGUUGCUUCGGCGCAGACGCUGGAAACAGCCAUUGACCUCUCACGUCGAUAGCGAUGACUUCGCCGGAGUUUCAUACUCUACAUUAUGUGUCGUCAGAGAAUCAAAAAUCUAAAAAA